Long non-coding RNA from Astyanax mexicanus (Mexican tetra), 2074 nucleotides. RefSeq lists it as uncharacterized. The transcript is spliced from 3 exons. The record is from RefSeq and is a predicted model, not a curated record. NCBI's taxonomy places the organism in Eukaryota, Metazoa, Chordata, Actinopteri, Characiformes, Acestrorhamphidae.
AGAAGUAUCUUGAGAAGAUUGGCAGUACAGUUUCCAGGCAUUCUGGGACACAGAUUAAACUAAAAAAAGUAGAAAAAUACAAAUUAAGGGUGGGUUCCCUUGAAGAUACAUCUUACAGAAAGAAACCAGACCUCUUACAGGAGUGGGAGCAGUUCUAUCUUCCAGAUGAGAUGAAAAUGCAAGUAAUCGGGGUUUUAGAGAAUUUCCCAUGUGGUGAGGACAGUGCUGAGCUGGUUCUUAUGGUGUGUGAAGACGGCAAUGUGUUUGCCUAUGAGGAUGAACGUCUUCAUCUGGUUGCCAGCAGCCUGAAAGGGCUGUUUGAGAGUGGGGUCCAGUUUCCAGGCAGGAAGUACUACUACAGUGGCCAGAGCUUUGAGGACAUGACAGAUGAUGAGUGGAAUCAAGUGAAAAAAUCAGAAGAAGUGAUGAAGAAGGACAAAGAACACGAGGAUAUGCUCAAGUCCAUGAAGCCUACAUACUUGGAAAACCUGGAGUUCAUUAAACAGAGACAACAAAUAUAGAGAUGCAGAUAAGAAACCAGAUUGAAGGCAGCAGCACAGAGCAGAGUGAAAGAGCAUCUCAGAGCAGCAGAAUUCAAACAGCAAAGCUUAUUGUUCAGAGUGGAAGUGAUUGUGUGCGUAUGUUGGUUGGGUUUUUUUUAUUGAGAGUUGUGCUAUGACUGUACAUGUGAAUGUGAUACUCUGUAGAUCCAGUGUUGCGUGUCUGCAUGUUUGCGUUCUCUCGCUCUCUCUCUCUCCCUGUCUCACUCUAUAGCUGGCAUAUCCUGUCAAUCAUUAUGGAGCAUGCUGCCAGCCAGGGGCGUAGCACCAAAUUCUGUGCCCUGUACACUCUCAAUGUCAGUGGGCCCCUAUCCAUGCCAGUAAGAACGUGAGUGAAAAAUAAAAUCAGGAUUUACAUGGGCCUUUCUCCCUACAUGGGCCCUGGGUGUUCAGGUCACUUUUCCCCACUACCAUGCCCAUGCUGCCAGCUAACCAAUCAAGCAGAGACUGAGGCGGAGUUUCCAGUUAAAAAACUAUGUGAAGGAGCUGUGCUUGCCGGCUCACAUACUGACCACUCGUUUGCAUGCUUCGUUUUUAUUGUGGUCAUUAGCAUAUAUUUUACUGUGUUAGUUUGAUGAACUAUUUGAGAUCUUGGCUGUAUGUUCCCAGGGGCAGAUUUUACCACCACACAAACCACGCAAUUUCUUGGGGCCCCAGGGAUCAGGGGGCCCCCUGCAGGCCAAAAGUUGGCCAAAAAAAAAAAAACGAAAAGAAAAAAAAAAAAGACACAGAAGAGACACCAUACAUGCAAGUUAAGCUAGGCGAGGUAGACUAAGGUAGCUCUGGCACAACCAUGAAACUGUCUUAUACCAGCUGUGCCCAAAAAAGAAAAAAAAAUAAGGAUAGGAAGUCCAGCACAGAAAGUUGACAAAGCUCACCAAUUUUUUUGCAGCAGCAAGAAAUGAAACGUCUGACGAGGAUGAGGUACCUGAGACAGCUAGGUUGUCAGAGUCAAUAUGGCAUUUUGCUAUACAAAAGAAUCCAUUUAAUCAGGGCCACCAGAAAAAAAAAACAUUGAUUGGGGCCCCAGAACUUCCAAAUCCACCCCUGUGUGUGCCAUUGGAGUGUUUGUUCACAAGCUCUGUUAUUUUUACUCUUACAUUGUGUGUGUUUCCUUCCCCUCAGAUUGAGAACAGGUUUGACUGUGUGCGCACCUACAUUCCACCAUGUAGGUUGUUAAAUUGUAUAGACACACUAGAUUAAUCUAGUAAUCUAGACUAAUCUAGUGUAGUUAGCCAGUUUUUUUGGUAUGUUUCUUUUUGGGUAGUUAGGCUAGUGUCUUAAAACAGCUUAGUGUCAUUUUGUUUUGUUCUGUUCUUUCCUUUGGUACUGUUCAUUUUUUCUUUCUGACGCAAGGUUAUUCCAUUUCAUGACGUCUCUCUCUGAUGUUUCCACUGUUUGUUCUGCAUAAAUGUAAAGUAAAAAAAAAAAAUUGCUUUAAGUUGCCUGCUCUUUAGUCAAGUCAUUCCUUAGCUUCCAGUAUGUUUGAAACUCCCUCUUACGCGAUUCACAUC